This 256-nucleotide ribosomal RNA is filed under the name uncultured bacterium. RNAcentral describes it as "partial 16S ribosomal RNA". It matches the Rfam family "Bacterial small subunit ribosomal RNA", at positions 545 to 793 of the family's 1533-position model. The record is from RNAcentral.
UCGGAAUUACUGGGCGUAAAGCGCAUGCAGGUGGUUUGUUAAGUCAGAUGUGAAAGACCCGGGGCGUCAACCUCGGAAUAGCAUUUGUAAACUAGGCAGACUAGAGUACUGUAGAGGGGGGUAGGAAUUUCAGGUGUAGCGGUGAAAUAGCGUAGAGAUCUGAAGGAAUACCGGUGGCGAAGGCGGCCCCCUCGGACAGAUACUGACACUCAGAUGCGAAAGCGUGGGGAGCAAACAGGAUUAGAUACCCUGGUAG